GUGGGGAAUUUUGGACAAUGGGCGCAAGCCUGAUCCAGCCAUGCCGCGUGUGUGAAGAAGGCCUUCGGGUUGUAAAGCACUUUCGGCCGGGACGAAAUCGCUCGGGUUAACACCCAGGGUGGAUGACGGUACCGGAAGAAGAAGCACCGGCUAACUACGUGCCAGCAGCCGCGGUAAUACGUAGGGUGCAAGCGUUAAUCGGAAUUACUGGGCGUAAAGCGUGCGCAGGCGGUUUUGUAAGCCAGACGUGAAAUCCCCGGGCUUAACCUGGGAACUGCGUUUGGAACUGCAAGGCUAGAGUGCGGCAGAGGAAGGUGGAAUUCCUGGUGUAGCAGUGAAAUGCGUAGAUAUCAGGAGGAACACCGAUGGCGAAGGCAGCCUUCUGGGCUAGCACUGACGCUCAUGCACGAAAGCGUGGGGAGCAAACAGGAUUAGAAACCCGGGUAGUCC
This 450-nucleotide ribosomal RNA is filed under the name uncultured bacterium. RNAcentral describes it as "bacterial SSU rRNA". It matches the Rfam family "Bacterial small subunit ribosomal RNA", at positions 354 to 796 of the family's 1533-position model. The record is from RNAcentral.